Long non-coding RNA from Homo sapiens (human), 1448 nucleotides. Ensembl annotates it as mitotically associated long non coding RNA. Its record names the gene MANCR. The record is from Ensembl. NCBI's taxonomy places the organism in Eukaryota, Metazoa, Chordata, Mammalia, Primates, Hominidae.
AGAGUAAACUGGGUAUUCACAGGUAAAGAGAGAUAAUUUCUAGAACAAAAAAUGUCAGCCAGAAGAAAUGGGCCAAAUAUUAGUGUCCUCGUUUGGAUUUUAAUGAAGUUGUCAAAUUUAUGGGCUAUGAUAACUUAUAAUGGGCAAAAGAAUGUUAAGUAGUCUAGAUGGGAGAGGGCAGAAAUUACAACAACAAAAAAAUUCAGACACCAAAUGAUGACACAAUCUUCCAAAUUAUAAAUCUGAUCUCAUUUUUAUUCAGUGACAUUUGAUAUCUCUCAACUUUCCACACUUUAAUAUAUUCAGUAGUAAAUUUGAUAGGAUUGAAAAAAAUGACACUAUAAUUCCAAAGUCUUUUGCAUAGAUCAUUUCUGAGAAUCUGUGCCUAACCUAACCUCAUUUCCAGAAACUUCUCAAGCUGCCCCAUGUCUCAGACUCAAUCACCACAAUUGCAAUCAAAAGACGGCUUUAGUUGGAACCUGGAACGUGCUAAUCCUGUCAGGCAGCCUGUGAUUCUGGAAGUGAAGGAACAAAAAAAAAAAAAAAAAGGGAAAAUUUCACAUAAAAUUUCCAUAUGAGGAAGAAGAUGGAAACUUUUGUGUUGUGCGUUCAGUAAAACGGGCACUUUCUUAAGCAGGUGGCAAAGAAAGCCUGAGAAUCCGGCCUGACUUUUUCAUUUCAGAACCCUGCAUUUCCCACACAGAGGAGAUAGAGCACAGCCAUUGCAUGGUAGAUCCAGCUUGCUCUCACAGCCAUUGUGCAAAUAAACAUACAUGUGGCAAGGCAGUGCAGUUUUCAGUUGUUAAAAGUUCUGUCAUGCCACGAGAUGGAGCAAAGGAUAAACGCUGAUGUAAACAGGCAACAGGACUCUGACUCCACACCCCUGUCUGCACGGAGGAUGCUCAGUCCUUACACAACAAAAUGUGAGAUGCUUCCAGUCACCUCCUGGCCCUGACCCCUGAGCUCCGUGCUCACCCCACUGGAGGUCCUGGCAGUUCUCCGAGCAGGCUGUACCUGUCUGGGGUGAUCCUCUCCACUUAAUGUUAGACAUUAAGUUCCCUGUGAAAUCUGUUUUGACUCACUGAGGUUAUGAAUAUUUUAUCACAACUAUCAUCAUAUACUACCAAAUCUCCAAUUUUCUUAUCUCCAUUACUAGACUGUGAGCUCCCUGGAGGCUGGACCUGGGUUUGGCACCGAGUGGCACUCAUACAUACUUCUUGAAUAAGAGAAUGUAUGUACACAGUGGCAUGAAAUUGAUUUGAAUUUGUUGGUUUUCUUAAGUGCUAAAGUUGUAGACAGUUCAGUAAAAACUAUAAAGCGGUUACCCUGUAAACCAUGAGUACUAUUAAUUGGAACCUCCUUUCUUACAUAUCCACUUGUGUUUCUGUUAAUGUUUCCAAAAUAAAUAAAGAGCAGGCUAGAGGGAAACCUCCAGUCCUUAGAAACCA